RNAcentral lists this unclassified non-coding RNA (345 nucleotides) under soil metagenome. Its description in RNAcentral is "partial contains 5.8S ribosomal RNA, internal transcribed spacer 2, and large subunit ribosomal RNA". The stretch from base 1 to 119 matches the Rfam family "5.8S ribosomal RNA", at positions 35 to 154 of the family's 154-position model. The record is from RNAcentral.
GAUGAAGAACGUAGCGAAAUGCGAUACGUAAUGUGAAUUGCAAAUUCAGUGAAUCAUCGAGUCUUUGAACGCACAUUGCGCCCCCUGGUAUUCCGGGGGGCAUGCCUGUCCGAGCGUCAUUGCUGCCCUCAAGCACGGCUUGUGUGUUGGGCCCCGUCCUCCGAUUCCGGGGGACGGGCCCGAAAGGCAGCGGCGGCACCGCGUCCGGUCCUCGAGCGUAUGGGGCUUUGUCACCCGCUCUGUAGGCCCGGCCGGCGCAUGCCGAUCAACCCAAAUUUUUAUCCAGGUUGACCUCGGAUCAGGUAGGGAUACCCGCUGAACUUAAGCAUAUCAAUAAGCGGAGGA